AGAGAGAUAAUUCGGCGGACGCCAUCGUUCGCAACGAUGAGGUCGUCGUUUCGAUCCCGACUAGCUCCACCA
Molecule: transfer RNA, 72 nt
Filed under: Acidobacteriota bacterium
Lineage: Bacteria; Pseudomonadati; Acidobacteriota
Description: Acidobacteria bacterium tRNA-Ala
Source: RNAcentral